This 1108-nucleotide ribosomal RNA is filed under the name Lacticaseibacillus paracasei. Its description in RNAcentral is "bacterial SSU rRNA". It matches the Rfam family "Bacterial small subunit ribosomal RNA", at positions 64 to 1137 of the family's 1533-position model. Lineage: Bacteria; Bacillati; Bacillota; Bacilli; Lactobacillales; Lactobacillaceae. The record is from RNAcentral.
GAACGAGUUCUCGUUGAUGAUCGGUGCUUGCACCGAGAUUCAACAUGGAACGAGUGGCGGACGGGUGAGUAACACGUGGGUAACCUGCCCUUAAGUGGGGGAUAACAUUUGGAAACAGAUGCUAAUACCGCAUAGAUCCAAGAACCGCAGGGUUCUUGGCUGAAAGAUGGCGUAAGCUAUCGCUUUUGGAUGGACCCGCGGCGUAUUAGCUAGUUGGUGAGGUAAUGGCUCACCAAGGCGAUGAUACGUAGCCRAACUGAGAGGUUGAUCGGCCACAUUGGGACUGAGACACGGCCCAAACUCCUACGGGAGGCAGCAGUAGGGAAUCUUCCACAAUGGACGCAAGUCUGAUGGAGCAACGCCGCGUGAGUGAAGAAGGCUUUCGGGUCGUAAAACUCUGUUGUUGGAGAAGAAUGGUCGGCAGAGUAACUGUUGUCGGCGUGACGGUAUCCAACCAGAAAGCCACGGCUAACUACGUGCCAGCAGCCGCGGUAAUACGUAGGUGGCAAGCGUUAUCCGGAUUUAUUGGGCGUAAAGCGAGCGCAGGCGGUUUUUUAAGUCUGAUGUGAAAGCCCUCGGCUUAACCGAGGAAGCGCAUCGGAAACUGGGAAACUUGAGUGCAGAAGAGGACAGUGGAACUCCAUGUGUAGCGGUGAAAUGCGUAGAUAUAUGGAAGAACACCAGUGGCGAAGGCGGCUGUCUGGUCUGUAACUGACGCUGAGGCUCGAAAGCAUGGGUAGCGAACAGGAUUAGAUACCCUGGUAGUCCAUGCCGUAAACGAUGAAUGCUAGGUGUUGGAGGGUUUCCGCCCUUCAGUGCCGCAGCUAACGCAUUAAGCAUUCCGCCUGGGGAGUACGACCGCAAGGUUGAAACUCAAAGGAAUUGACGGGGGCCCGCACAAGCGGUGGAGCAUGUGGUUUAAUUCGAAGCAACGCGAAGAACCUUACCAGGUCUUGACAUCUUUUGAUCACCUGAGAGAUCAGGUUUCCCCUUCGGGGGCAAAAUGACAGGUGGUGCAUGGUUGUCGUCAGCUCGUGUCGUGAGAUGUUGGGUUAAGUCCCGCAACGAGCGCAACCCUUAUGACUAGUUGCCAGCAUUUAGUUGGGCA